AAAAUCAGCCACCACCUCUGCCGCGGAUACCACCACCACCACAACCACAACCACCACCGUAGUAGAUUUGAAAUCCCUAAUCCACGACCACAGACUCUUCUUCGACAAGUUAAUCGACCUAAUUCCACCUAGAUUUUACCUCCCUAAAGAAGACGCCCCCUGGUACGGAGGGCUCUCCAAAGCCGCCAAAGCCUCCGCCAAGAGAAAAUCCAAAGAGAACCUCAAACUCGCUCGUCGCAACCGCCUUGAUCCUGACAAAAAAGAUCAAACCUCCACCCUCGGCCUCCUCGAACAAUCCCUUCAGAAACAACAACAAACUGACGCCAAAGCAAAUCCCGACGAAGAAUAUCAUGCGAAACCUACGCCCAUUAAUUUGGAGGAUAACGAUAGUAACCCUAAUAACGAUAACUCCUCCGUAACUUUCGAGGGGCUGAGACAAAAGCUACGCAGAAAGAUCGAAAUGCUCCGUGGUAACCGCGGUGAUUAAACAACAACAAAAUGACGCCAAAGCAAAUCCCGACGAAGAAGAUCAUGCUAAACCCACACCCAUUAAUUUGGAGGAUAGCGAUAGUAACCCUAAUAACAAUAACUCCUCCGUAACUUUCGAGGGGCUAAGACAAAAGUUACGCAGAAAGAUCGAAAUGCUCC
Molecule: long non-coding RNA, 648 nt
Filed under: Nicotiana benthamiana
Lineage: Eukaryota; Viridiplantae; Streptophyta; Magnoliopsida; Solanales; Solanaceae
Description: long non-coding RNA (NBEN_LNC028228)
Source: RNAcentral